Molecule: ribosomal RNA, 492 nt
Filed under: uncultured bacterium
Lineage: Bacteria
Description: partial 16S ribosomal RNA
Rfam family: Bacterial small subunit ribosomal RNA
Source: RNAcentral
AGUGAACGCUGGCGGUAGGCCUAACACAUGCAAGUCGAACGGCAGCACAGUAAGAUCUUGCUCUUACGGGUGGCGAGUGGCGGACGGGUGAGGAAUACAUCGGAAUCUACUUUUUCGUGGGUGAUAACGUAGGGAAACUUACGCUAAUACCUCAUACGACCUACGGGUGAAAGCAGUGGAUCUUCGGACCUUGCGCGAUUCAAUGAGCCGAUGUCGGAUUAGCUAGUUGGCGGGGUAAAGGCCCACCAAGGCGACGAUCCGUAGCUGGUCUGAGAGGAUGAUCAGCCACACUGGAACUGAGACACGGUCCAGACUCCUACGGGAGGCAGCAGUGGGGAAUAUUGGACAAUGGGCGCAAGCCUGAUCCAGCCAUACCGCGUGGGUGAAGAAGGCCUUCGGGUUGUAAAGCCCUUUUGUUGGGAAAGAAAAGAAGCAGGUUAAUACCCCGCUGUUCUGACGGUACCCAAAGAAUAAGCACCGGCUAACUUCGUG